GCCUCGCUAGCUCAAUGGCUAGAGCGUGAGACUUUUAGGACCUCCAAGUCCAUCUCAAGGUUGCGGGUUCGACCCCCGCGUGAGGCU
This is a non-coding RNA of Tricharina praecox, 87 nucleotides long. Lineage: Eukaryota; Fungi; Ascomycota; Pezizomycetes; Pezizales; Pyronemataceae. The record is from the annotation of a RefSeq genome assembly.